This 393-nucleotide ribosomal RNA is filed under the name uncultured bacterium. Its description in RNAcentral is "bacterial SSU rRNA". It matches the Rfam family "Bacterial small subunit ribosomal RNA", at positions 28 to 422 of the family's 1533-position model. The record is from RNAcentral.
GAUGAACGCUAGCGGCAGGCUUAACACAUGCAAGUCGGAGGGGUAUAGUUCUUCGGAAUUAGAGACCGGCGCACGGGUGCGUAACGCGUAUGCAAUCUACCUUUCACAGAGGGAUAGCCCAGAGAAAUUUGGAUUAAUACCUCAUAGUAUAGCAGUUUCGCAUGAAACCACUAUUAAAGUCACAACGGUGAAAGAUGAGCAUGCGUCCCAUUAGCUAGUUGGUAAGGUAACGGCUUACCAAGGCAACGAUGGGGUAGGGUCCUGAGAGGGAGAUCCCCCCACACUGGUACUGAGACACGGCCCAGACUCCUACGGGAGCAGCAGUGAGGAAUAUUGGACAAUGGGCGCAAGCCUGAUCCAGCCAUGCCGCGUGCAGGAAGACGCAUCUAUGGU